This 168-nucleotide non-coding RNA is filed under the name Thermovenabulum gondwanense. Lineage: Bacteria; Bacillati; Bacillota; Clostridia; Thermosediminibacterales; Thermosediminibacteraceae. The record is from RNAcentral.
GAAUACGGUGAACUCAGGGGUGCUUUGAGCUUAAAAGGGAAAGCGGUGAAAAUCCGCUGCAGCCCCCGCUACUGUAUACGGAGACGAAUCCAGUCCCACUGGGAAACCGGGAAGGGUGGAGGAGGAUGACCCGUGAGCCAGGAGACCUGCCUCUGGGUAGAUGCCGGU